UAUAUAUAUACACAAAUAUAUAUAUAUAUAAAGAUAAUUUUCUGUGGGAAAAAAAAAAGCCAAUUUGGAGUUGCUCAGUUACUGUAUCCUGGUCUAUGUUACCUACAAAUCCCAGCAGGUACUUUCAGUUCUGGUUUUGCAGAACAUCCUACUUCUUUCUUCCACCAGUGGUCAUGUAGUCUUAACGUUUUCAUACAUCUUUGCUGCUACUCUUAAGAGAAGUGUAAGAGCAUAAUGGGCAAAGAGGUGUGCUACAGGAGCUGGAUUUGGUGUAGUGUGUUCUCUCACUGCUACAUAUGAAUAAUCACUCUGUUUUGGGGUUUUUUUCACCCCUUUUGGUUUGUGUGCCAUUAAUGGAACUUGAGCUGCUUUGGGUCAGAAUGAUUUCUUACUUAGGUUGUACAUUACCUGAAAAACUGGAACCCAGACUUGUUUGGAUCUCCAGCUGUUUUAAAAUGUUACUUCCAUUAUUGUGGUUGUCAUUUCUAACAGGAUACAGUAAAAUAUUUUGCCAGAUUCAUGUUUGUAACCACCAUCUUAUAUUUAAUUGGAUGAGUGAAAGCACAUCGAAUUGCUGCUGUGGCAAAGAAAUUCCCCUGAUGUUAAAAAAUAGAAUACAGAUUGGGUCAAAGUUAUUAUUAAUUCAAGUUCUAAACCACUUUUUAGUUGUUAUCUCACUAUUGGUAAUUACAGCCUCCUGUAAUUCAUAUCAGAUACUUUUUGUCUGAUCUGUGUAGUCCUUGGAGCAUGGAGUAUUUUGUAUGAUUAUGAAAUAGCAGGCAUUGUUGUUGGAUUAGUAAUAGCCUCUUUGUCCCCCUUCAUAUUAGGCCAGCAAAUGAUCUACUUCUGUUUUUAAAUGGUUUAAUUUUAGAAGAGAUUAUAAACACAUAAUUUCACUAUUAGAAAGAGGUUGAAAUCUGGGCCAGGAAUAUGACUUGGAAACAAAUGAAUGUCCAAGUUGUCAGUUUAUUACCAAAUUAAACCUUGAUGGUUAAGACUGAAUCUUAAUUGAUAUUUAAGAGAGAUUUGGAGCCAGUCAUUCCUCCAUUCAAUUCCACUUUGAAGUAAACUGGUGUGAAGCUGUUCUGCUCUUGCCAAAUACUUUAUGGAGUCCAUUAAUUAAUAUCUUCUGGACAGCUUCAGCAGAGCAUGUGGUUAAAUUUGCACAGUCACUGGGGCUGCCAAAUAAUCACACGCUUUCAUUUGUGGAAACAGACCAUGAUGAUUUGUUCAAAAGGAAGGAAUAAAUAAACAAGAAAGCAGCCCCUGAAAGUGCGCAAAAUCCAGAUUGUAAGUAACAGCUUUAAAUAACUGGAUGGCAGAAAAUGUACUUGCUUUGGGAUGACUAUUGUGCUGCAUUUAGCUCUGGUGGGUAAGGAAAAGGGAAGGUACUCUGUCCUGUUGCCUAGUAGGUAACUGAAGCUUCUAAGGCUGCAGUCCCUUGGGUAGUGGCAUCUGGAGCGCUCUGAAUCACUUAAGAUGGGGUGAGUACAGACAGUUCCAGUCAUACCUCAGUAAACCUCCUUCCCCAGCUGCUGGAACCAUGGCAGGCAUGUUUCAGUUUAGAUGUUCCUUUGAGAAUCUGUUGAUGAAGGUAACCAGCUAGGACAGCUGUCAGGAGAAAUUUCCUUUGCUAUUGGAGUUGUUUGGGGUUGGGUCAUAGAAUCGUAGAAUUGUUUGAGGUGAAAGGGACCCUUAAUAGCCACCUAGUCCCGAUCCCCUGCUGUGAACAUAAACAUUCAUCGCAUCUUUGGGAUCCCUUACAGCUCAGGCCAAAGCUGCACACUGCCCAGCAGAAAGUAGAUCUACUCUACUUUGCACUUCCUGGAAUCAUCUGUUGCUUAGGCAGGGAAAUUAUGGGCAGAACUUUGUGUCCAGGAGCAGCAACAUCAAAUGAAAAAGGUGGCAGCUCUGUAAGAGAAAUUAAAUUUAAAGGAAGAAAAAAUUAAGCAGGAAGAUGGGGACUUUAUGUCAUAAAUGCUUUCAAUUACCAGAUCCCAACAUAACAUCUAUUAAGCUGAUAUCAUAAUAAGUGAAUAAGAACUACAGUAGGUGCAACCUAGUGCAUGUAGAACCAUAGAUUUAUGUGCCUAUUCUAAUUCCAGAAAGAAUAUUGUUGUCGUUUUAGUUUAAGGGAUCGCAGCCAUGAUGUCAAGUGGAAAAGAAUUAUUUUCAAAGUGAGUUAAAGUUGCACAGAAUAACCGUGACAAAGUCAACCACGAGGAGACCAGACGUGUAGAGCCUGAAAAGCAUGAGCUGUAAUUCCAGCUGAGAAAAUCAUGGGAGGAAAAUUCUAAAUAUAAAAACUGUCACAGACACAGCACUGCAGCAACUCAAGGGGCUGAGCAACUGGAGCUCCCAGGCUGGAAAGGCAGAAACACUUCAGUGAACGUGGAAAAGAGGAAAGAAUGUGAGUUACAGACACACAAAUGCAGCAUUUGGGAGAAAUUCCUCAAGACUUAGAAGAAAAAAAUCAGGUAAAAAUCAAUGUGUCUGUAAUGAUCACUAGUUAGCUAAAACUUGCUUUUCAGAUACUUUAAAACGCUAAUUUUAGAGGCCUUGGAAGACAGCAUGGCCAAGAUUUUCUCUACAUUUAUUGCUAAUUUUGUUUUUCUUGUACUUUCUGCACUGUAUCCUUUUCUCACAAAUCACCUAUCUAAAUUUUAAAAGCUGAUGAAUGAGUUCCUGUACUAAUUUGUGCAGAGAAAAUCACCAAGUUUAUUUCCUAUCUAUAAUAUUUAAUAAAUCCACAAGUGUCUAUUUCUAGAACUCCAUCAAACAGGAGCUGGUUUCACCAUCCUAUUUUGAACUGUGUUCAGGUGUAUAUUCUUCCAUACUGAGUUCACCCUAUCAGAAAGCAGCAGGCAGACAUUUAUCAACUUAGCCUCAAGGAGCUGAGAGGCCCCCCUUAAUGCUGGUGCUUCUUAUUAUGUUAAAUGCUUUCCAGAAGCAUUUGUGGAAAAGAUGUUAAGAGAUCUACGCCAAUUAAAGUUAUUUUCAAGUAUCUGAAUAGACCACCAGCUCAUAAGCUGAUGGAGGCAGAGGGCAGUGCUGGCCUGGGUAACAGAGCCUCUAAUGCAGUCAGCUCUACCUGCCGUGUAAUUUACUUCUAUUCUGGUCAUUACAACUGGCACAAUUGCAGUUAUGCCUCAGGAAAGGCUGGUAGCCCGCUAUGCUGAAGUGAGCAUUUUCAUUCCUUGUUUUUAAUUCUAAUGCUUUUGGUAACUUGACCUUCAUUUCCUAAAUUUCACAUUGUCUUAACUGAAAGGAAGAGUCCAUGAACUCCUUAUCCUCCACGUACUUUAUACACUCUAUUAAAGAUCACUUCUCCCUCCACGAUCUCACUUUGCAUGGCUUCUUAGAUAGUAACAGUUCUGAGAAUACUUCACACAUCAGUUAUUUUAAGCUUCUCACUGCUAACCUAAACAAAAGCUCAACAGAUUAAUGUCUGAAGUAUUUAAAGAUAAAAACCACUGUCAGAUAGUUUCUUUCCUCACUCCAACCAUUUAUUUAUGCCAAAUAAAAUUCUGUUGUCAUGGCUACUUAAUCAACCUAUUACAAAUAACAUUUCGCCAGCUACCAGAUGUAUGGACUCUGUUAAAGCCCAUCAUGGACACAGGCUUUAUAAAAUGAAUCCAGAUGAGUCCGUAUCACUUUAACAACUCCACAUUAAAAGCCACACCAUCCAUCCCUAUAAUCAAUCCUUCAUCAGGACAGAAUUUCCCUACAAAUGGGACGAUCCAACUUGAUGUUCUUCAGAGGUAAAGGCCUGAUGUACUCACUGAGAAGUGAAUCUUACUGUGCAAUGCACAGAUUGAGGAAUACUCUGCAACGUGUUUGCAUCUUUCUUACUACACAGGAAACAUUUUCAAUGAGUCUCUUCUUCAUCCAGUAACAAACUUGUUUUUGGAUGUCCUUUCCUGAUAGCUCUGGAAGUGCUUGCCAAGCUGUUGACAUCUCAAAGCUGUUCUGAUUUGUUCUCAUUGAAAUACUACUGCUGGUUCUAUUAAACCUUAAUAUCUGCAACUACCUGCUGUGCAGCUCUGAAGUCUCAGCUGCACACAGGCAGUCCUGUUUUGCUUUUGAGGAUACAGCAAAUAGCUUUUAAGAUCUGCCUACAAGCAGAUUUUGCUCCACUGAACUGAAACCACAUCUGUGUGUGGAAGAUGACUUUUGACUGUGCAAGUCUAGAGGAGCUAUGAACUAAUCUGAACCAGCCAUAAACUUCGCUUUUGUCACUGCAGCUGCCAGCCUAGAUUAUAAUGUGAGCAAAAACUCAUGUUCUGGAUGCUGCCUCGGAAUUUAAAGAAACUGUUAAACUGUGCUGAAAUUACCUGAUCACUGUUUGGAUUUACUCAGUGCUCUGCAGGAACCUGCAAACCCACGUAGCAGUCAUGUAGUAAUUUGCCUGCUGAACACUCUUGUCAUAUGCUACCAUUAUGCUCUGUGCCCAACCUCACCCCUGCCAGCCCCAGGCUUCAGCUUGCCAUUUUCCUCACUUAAAAAAGGAAAAAAGCAGGAAAACAACCAGCAAUGCCUGUUCAGUCAUGUUUUCUCUAUUGGAAGCUUCUAUUAAACACUCUCCUUGAAUAUCCAACUCCAAUACAAAUGACUGCCCGGGCAGACUGCAACUUGAUGAAACUUUCUGCUCUUUAAUACGAGACUGACUCAUUUAGAUGGCCACACUUCUCAUGACUUAGCUACAAAGUGAGCUGUGCAACUGACAAAUGGCACAGAAGCUUCCUGAGCCACCACAGCAACCUCAUUCACCAUUUCACAGUGCAAACAAAACAAACAAACGUGCACUUUUUCCAAUCUUUCUGCAUGUGUUAUGUUAAAUGAUCAAAAAUCGAUACUAAACAAACACCAUCAUUCAUCAGUCAGUUAUAGGUUUAAUCUGGACUGUGACUUUACUAGUUUAAAAUGGAGUACGCUCUAUUUACAUUUAAAACACGGCUCUACUUAUGUCACUCAAACAUCACACCAACUCAACACCCAUCCCUUUUACUAGACUGCACAGCGCAGUCAUGUUAUAGAAGUAUGCAGACUAAGAACAAGAUGCUCCUUUUCCCAUUUUGUAGAAAGAUUAAAUGAGCCACUGCAAAGUCAAGAGCCUUUUUUAUACCAGUUUCAAGAGGCCAGAUAUGCACAUACGAACUGCAUGCGCAAGUCUUACGAUGGGAAUCAUUUCAGAAUUUAAUAGCAUUUUCUGAUGCGUGUAUUCCACAUUUUCAAAUGCUUAUAGUUGGGUUAACAGCUUACUCUGUGCUAACAGAAUUUAGGGUAUCAGAAGUGAUUUUACCUGAUCUAACUUGUUACAGAAACAAAAAUAAAAGCCAAGCAGCAAAGCCUUCAUGCACAAGUACAUAUGACCAUAGUGAUUAGAUUGAAGACUGGGCAAGAAUACAAGGCUUAUUCAUGCUACUCAACCUACAGCUGCCAGUUUAAGCUCCUCCAGAAAACUGCUAGGACGGUUGGCAGUCUGGUUCUUUUUUAAUUAACAAUUCUUUUACUUGCACCUCUUCUUAUAAUUUUUUGCCUCACCUCUACGGCACUUAGUUGAAAACUACCAGUUAGAGCUGUGCUUUUGUGACUGGCAGCUCGUGUUCAGCUGUGCAGCACCUGAAUGAAUUGCACUGGGUAUUCAAGCAAACUACAUCUGAACUAAGAAACAGCACGGUAGGGAACACGUCACCAAACUGAUCAGCUGAAGUGACUGUUAAAUGUGAAAUAAUAAAAGAUCUUGAUUUUACAGUGUCCUACCUGUUUGACUGCUGAACCUCACUACGUAGGAUGUGAACAUUUGGGAAUGCUUAUCUGAUGAUAAGAAACAAAGCUGAAUACUGCAGUUUCCUCUACAAUGAAUUGCAGAACAGCCUUUAAGUUACGAAAAUUGAUGUAACUGGAGGAAUGCAUUUGGAGGCCCUAUGAUGGAUCUACCACUACUCUCAGCAGUUGCAGCUACAUCAGCAGAAGCAGCAACUUCUCCCUCCUCAAGCUGCUGUCAUCCUUCACUUUCUCUUACUUGGGCUGGAAAUGUUAAGUUACUGCUGGCUGUGCCACUGUACUGAGAUACUGACAGCAAGUGGUGAAGUGCUAAGGGUAGUCAAAUUAUUUGCUAGCAAUUCAAUUUAAACACUCCUUCCUUACUGAUGUGAUCUGGAUUACCAGAAUACAUUGUAGUGAAACACUGGGCUACGUGUUGUGUUUUACUCUGUCCUCAAGCAAGUUACUGACCCAACUUUAGAAAUCCAAUGAGAAAAAAAAGCCUCAAAAAAGUCCCAAGUGUGCUGCUUCCAACUGCAGGUCAGGAAGCCAGUCCUGAAUAAUGAAGGGCCAGCAAUGCAAGAACCACACCCAUCUGACUAGUCACAGUCCUUUAACAUAUUUAAAUGCAGACUACUCUUCCCUCAAAGUAAACUUCAUCAAGAUCCCAAAUCUUUUUCUUCUGCAACAUUUUCAUCUUCUACCAUGUGAAAGACACUCAGCCUAAAGCACUUCCAGCACUGGCAAGAACAAGCCUCCAACCAGAAGAAAACUUCUGCUCCUACAAACAUACCACCUUUGACAGUCAGCAAAACCACUGAUGAAAAAAUUUCACUACGAACAAAGUUUUAGGAAGUAAAAGUACUUUGAGCAUUUAAUAGAUGACAUUUUAAGCUGACACUCUGUUGUUGUUUCUAAUUUCAUUAUUGGAGAAACAGCGAAUUAGUCAGUGCCACUUUAAAGAAAGUCAGUUUCAAGCAUUAAGAAGAAAAAGGCAAAUUACUCACUGAAUCACAAGGCAACGUCACACUUACUCCUUCAACAGGUAUUUGUCAGUUAUCCUCCUAACAUGGCAAAUCAGUGUCUGCUCUGCUCUCUGAUCUUACUAAGAAUUCAUGAACAAAUUGAGACAGACCUUUUAUAAAAAGAAUCCCAAGAUGUUCCCAGUCUAAGUAAACUCCUACUGAUGUUCUAUUCAGCAAGUAAACUAGUUCUCAGUCAAAGCCCUUCUGCUGGGACACGUUCAGAAACAAGUCAAGUAUCACAAUGUUUAUUGAUAGAUACAAGUAUAUAAAAAUCAGGGCAUGAACAUGUCUUGAUAAGUUAAGUAGACUUAAUUUCAAUAUUAUAAUAGAGGGACCAAUUCAAAUUUCUCACCAUCAUGUUUCACACCCACAAAAACCUCCUCCAAAGGGCAUUAAAUCAUCUGUCCAGCUGAUCAGUUUUUGUGCAAGUAAACUGUUUCUUU
Molecule: non-coding RNA, 7234 nt
Organism: Coturnix japonica (Japanese quail)
Lineage: Eukaryota; Metazoa; Chordata; Aves; Galliformes; Phasianidae
Source: RefSeq, a predicted model, not a curated record